AGUGAACGCUGGCGGUAGGCCUAACACAUGCAAGUCGAACGGCAGCACAGUAAGAGCUUGCUCUUACGGGUGGCGAGUGGCGGACGGGUGAGGAAUACAUCGGAAUCUACUUUUUCGUGGGGGAUAACGUAGGGAAACUUGCGCUAAUACCGCAUACGACCUACGGGUGAAAGCAGGGGAUCUUCGGACCUUGCGCGAUUGAAUGAGCCGAUGUCGGAUUAGCUAGUUGGCGGGGUAAAGGCCCACCAAGGCGACGAUCCGUAGCUGGUCUGAGAGGAUGAUCAGCCACACUGGAACUGAGACACGGUCCAGACUCCUACGGGAGGCAGCAGUGGGGAACAUUGGACAAUGGGCGCAAGCCUGAUCCAGCCAUACCGCGUGGGUGAAGAAGGCCUUCGGGUUGUAAAGCCCUUUUGUUGGGAAAGAAAAGCAGCAGGUUAAUACCCCGCUGUUCUGACGGUACCCAAAGAAUAAGCACCGGCUAACUUCGUG
This 492-nucleotide ribosomal RNA is filed under the name uncultured bacterium. Its description in RNAcentral is "partial 16S ribosomal RNA". It matches the Rfam family "Bacterial small subunit ribosomal RNA", at positions 29 to 507 of the family's 1533-position model. The record is from RNAcentral.